AGCCACUGGGCAUCAGGAAGAAGAUGCUUCCCCUGCAUGAAGACGUUAUGUUUACUUCCCGAACUUCAUUGAAAAAGGAUUUUACAGCCCUGGGCCUGGAGGGUCACCCCUGUCAUCCCAACAUUAGGGAAGCUGAAGCAGAAAAAUCGCCAAGUUGAAGGCUAGCCUGGGCCACACAGAGAGACUCUGACCCAGACAGGACAAAACAACACUUUACAAAAAUGCCAGCAUCCCUUAAAUCUGCGGGUCUAAUCUGGAAGCUGGCCGCUCUGAAAAGAGACUGAAGUUACAACUGGCUACACAGGUGAGUGCUGCUUGCCAAGAACUCAGGGUGGCCUCGGGCACAGGGUAGUGUGGCCGCUUGUGGCCUGGGAGACUGGGUCUUUCUAACCCGCAGUGUAACCACCUACUGCCACACCGAACAGAAUGGGUGUAAAAAGCCAGCGUCUGGCCCUGCAUCUAAAGGGCCCGUGUGACCCCGGGCUGUAGGAUGCUGCACCAGAAACACAGCUGUUCUGAGGCAGGAGUGGGACAAAGGCUUUGCAUCUGGAAGUCAUCCAAAGCUUCCAGCUGUCAGAGUCAAACCAGGAACCAUGGAAACCAGCCCCUUGCAGCACUGUGUCGCUCUCUGCUUACACUGUCGGGGACCAUGCCUUGCUGGUGGGAAGCUUUGGUCAACCAUGGCUCCACCUGGAACAUCAGAUCCGGCAGGCCAAGACUUGACCCCUCCACAGAAUGGACCUCACUUCACACAAUAGCUUCAGGUCCUGGCUGGUAUUGGUGCUUUGGACAGAUUUGCUGUAAACUGGGGAUGGGGGUUAUGCCUUGAAUUUGAGUUCCUCUGAGUAUACUUUGUCACUUGCUAGAAUUGUUCGUAGAACUCUGAAAGACAUUUUACAUACAUUGAUCUUUUUAUUUUCAAGGGGCCAGCUUUAAGACCGAGCAUGUGGCAGAAGUUCUGAGGGAUAGGGAAGCUUGUCAUGGCCUUGGCAGGCAUUACCCUCCACAGCUCCCACAUCUGGAAGUUCUCUGAAUUCUACAGUUCCUCUCUUGGUGGUUGCAGGAAAUAUAAAAAAACAAACGAGC
This 1086-nucleotide long non-coding RNA is filed under the name Mus pahari (shrew mouse). Its description in RNAcentral is "lncRNA (MGP_PahariEiJ_G0005232.1)". Lineage: Eukaryota; Metazoa; Chordata; Mammalia; Rodentia; Muridae. The record is from RNAcentral.